CCCCUAGACGUUCUGGGCUGCACGCGCGCUACAAUAAUACGCACAGCGAGUAUCACCGAGCUCGAAAGGGCAAGGUAAACAAUAGAAAAGGUACUGUAAUGGUUAUAGAUCCUUGUAAUUAUUGAUCUUCAACGAGGAAUUCCUAGUAAGUAUGUGUCAUCAUCACGCACUGAUUACGUCCCUGCCCUUUGUACACGCCGCCCGUCGCUCCUACCGAUUGAGUGAGCCGAUGAAACUGCCGGAUGUGGACUAUUCAUAGUCUGCAGAAGAUAUUUGAAUCGUAGCGCUUAGAGGAAGGAGAAGUCGUAACA
RNAcentral lists this ribosomal RNA (311 nucleotides) under uncultured eukaryote. RNAcentral describes it as "partial 18S ribosomal RNA". It matches the Rfam family "Eukaryotic small subunit ribosomal RNA", at positions 1470 to 1796 of the family's 1831-position model. The record is from RNAcentral.